GCCCUGGCAGUCAGAGGCGAUGAAGGACGUGCUAAUCUGCGAUAAGCGUCGGUAAGGUGAUAUGAACCGUUAUAACCGGCGAUUUCCGAAUGGGGAAACCCAGUGUGAUUCGUCACACUAUCAUUAACUGAAUCCAUAGGUUAAUGAGGCGAACCGGGGGAACUGAAACAUCUAAGUACCCCGAGGAAAAGAAAUCAACCGAGAUUCCCCCAGUAGCGGCGAGCGAACGGGGAGGAGCCCAGAGCCUGAAUCAGUGUGUGUGUUAGUGGAAGCGUCUGGAAAGGCGCGCGAUACAGGGUGACAGCCCCGUACACAAAAAUGCACAUGCUGUGAGCUCGAUGAGUAGGGCGGGACACGUGGUAUCCUGUCUGAAUAUGGGGGGACCAUCCUCCAAGGCUAAAUACUCCUGACUGACCGAUAGUGAACCAGUACCGUGAGGGAAAGGCGAAAAGAACCCCGGCGAGGGGAGUGAAAAAGAACCUGAAACCGUGUACGUACAAGCAGUGGGAGCACAGAGCAAUCUGUGUGACUGCGUACCUUUUGUAUAAUGGGUCAGCGACUUAUAUUCUGUAGCAAGGUUAACCGAAUAGGGGAGCCGAAGGGAAACCGAGUCUUAACUGGGCGUUAAGUUGCAGGGUAUAGACCCGAAACCCGGUGAUCUAGCCAUGGGCAGGUUGAAGGUUGGGUAACACUAACUGGAGGACCGAACCGACUAAUGUUGAAAAAUUAGCGGAUGACUUGUGGCUGGGGGUGAAAGGCCAAUCAAACCGGGAGAUAGCUGGUUCUCCCCGAAAGCUAUUUAGGUAGCGCCUCGUGAAUUCAUCUCCGGGGGUAGAGCACUGUUUCGGCAAGGGGGUCAUCCCGACUUACCAACCCGAUGCAAACUGCGAAUACCGGAGAAUGUUAUCACGGGAGACACACGGCGGGUGCUAACGUCCGUCGUGAAGAGGGAAACAACCCAGACCGCCAGCUAAGGUCCCAAAGUCAUGGUUAAGUGGGAAACGAUGUGGGAAGGCCCAGACAGCCAGGAUGUUGGCUUAGAAGCAGCCAUCAUUUAAAGAAAGCGUAAUAGCUCACUGGUCGAGUCGGCCUGCGCGGAAGAUGUAACGGGGCUAAACCAUGCACCGAAGCUGCGGCAGCGACGCUUAUGCGUUGUUGGGUAGGGGAGCGUUCUGUAAGCCUGCGAAGGUGUGCUGUGAGGCAUGCUGGAGGUAUCAGAAGUGCGAAUGCUGACAUAAGUAACGAUAAAGCGGGUGAAAAGCCCGCUCGCCGGAAGACCAAGGGUUCCUGUCCAACGUUAAUCGGGGCAGGGUGAGUCGACCCCUAAGGCGAGGCCGAAAGGCGUAGUCGAUGGGAAACAGGUUAAUAUUCCUGUACUUGGUGUUACUGCGAAGGGGGGACGGAGAAGGCUAUGUUGGCCGGGCGACGGUUGUCCCGGUUUAAGCGUGUAGGCUGGUUUUCCAGGCAAAUCCGGAAAAUCAAGGCUGAGGCGUGAUGACGAGGCACUACGGUGCUGAAGCAACAAAUGCCCUGCUUCCAGGAAAAGCCUCUAAGCAUCAGGUAACAUCAAAUCGUACCCCAAACCGACACAGGUGGUCAGGUAGAGAAUACCAAGGCGCUUGAGAGAACUCGGGUGAAGGAACUAGGCAAAAUGGUGCCGUAACUUCGGGAGAAGGCACGCUGAUAUGUAGGUGAAGCGACUUGCUCGUGGAGCUGAAAUCAGUCGAAGAUACCAGCUGGCUGCAACUGUUUAUUAAAAACACAGCACUGUGCAAACACGAAAGUGGACGUAUACGGUGUGACGCCUGCCCGGUGCCGGAAGGUUAAUUGAUGGGGUCAGCGCAAGCGAAGCUCUUGAUCGAAGCCCCGGUAAACGGCGGCCGUAACUAUAACGGUCCUAAGGUAGCGAAAUUCCUUGUCGGGUAAGUUCCGACCUGCACGAAUGGCGUAAUGAUGGCCAGGCUGUCUCCACCCGAGACUCAGUGAAAUUGAACUCGCUGUGAAGAUGCAGUGUACCCGCGGCAAGACGGAAAGACCCCGUGAACCUUUACUAUAGCUUGACACUGAACAUUGAGCCUUGAUGUGUAGGAUAGGUGGGAGGCUUUGAAGUGUGGACGCCAGUCUGCAUGGAGCCGACCUUGAAAUACCACCCUUUAAUGUUUGAUGUUCUAACGUGGACCCGUAAUCCGGGUUGCGGACAGUGUCUGGUGGGUAGUUUGACUGGGGCGGUCUCCUCCUAAAGAGUAACGGAGGAGCACGAAGGUUGGCUAAUCCUGGUCGGACAUCAGGAGGUUAGUGCAAUGGCAUAAGCCAGCUUGACUGCGAGCGUGACGGCGCGAGCAGGUGCGAAAGCAGGUCAUAGUGAUCCGGUGGUUCUGAAUGGAAGGGCCAUCGCUCAACGGAUAAAAGGUACUCCGGGGAUAACAGGCUGAUACCGCCCAAGAGUUCAUAUCGACGGCGGUGUUUGGCACCUCGAUGUCGGCUCAUCACAUCCUGGGGCUGAAGUAGGUCCCAAGGGUAUGGCUGUUCGCCAUUUAAAGUGGUACGCGAGCUGGGUUUAGAACGUCGUGAGACAGUUCGGUCCCUAUCUGCCGUGGGCGCUGGAGAACUGAGGGGGGCUGCUCCUAGUACGAGAGGACCGGAGUGGACGCAUCACUGGUGUUCGGGUUGUCAUGCCAAUGGCACUGCCCGGUAGCUAAAUGCGGAAGAGAUAAGUGCUGAAAGCAUCUAAGCACGAAACUUGCCCCGAGAUGAGUUCUCCCUGACUCCUUGAGAGUCCUGAAGGAACGUUGAAGACGACGACGUUGAUAGGCCGGGUGUGUAAGCGCAGCGAUGCGUUGAGCUAACCGGUACUAAUGAACCGUGAGGCUUAACCUUACAACGCCGAAGCUGUU
This 2894-nucleotide ribosomal RNA is filed under the name Escherichia coli. Its description in RNAcentral is "partial 23S ribosomal RNA". It matches the Rfam family "Bacterial large subunit ribosomal RNA". Lineage: Bacteria; Pseudomonadati; Pseudomonadota; Gammaproteobacteria; Enterobacterales; Enterobacteriaceae. The record is from RNAcentral.